ACGCUUGUAGCUCAAUUGGAUAGAGUAUCAGAUUUCGAAUUUGAAGGUUGCGGGUUCGAUCCCCUCCAAGCGUA
Molecule: transfer RNA, 74 nt
Filed under: Diphylleia rotans
Lineage: Eukaryota; Collodictyonidae
Description: tRNA-Arg
Rfam family: tRNA
About the family: Transfer RNA (tRNA) molecules are approximately 80 nucleotides in length. Their secondary structure includes four short double-helical elements and three loops (D, anti-codon, and T loops). Further hydrogen bonds mediate the characteristic L-shaped molecular structure. tRNAs have two regions of fundamental functional importance: the anti-codon, which is responsible for specific mRNA codon recognition, and the 3' end, to which the tRNAs corresponding amino acid is attached (by aminoacyl-tRNA synthetases). tRNAs cope with the degeneracy of the genetic code in two manners: having more than one tRNA (with a specific anti-codon) for a particular amino acid; and 'wobble' base-pairing, i.e. permitting non-standard base-pairing at the 3rd anti-codon position.
Source: RNAcentral